Molecule: ribosomal RNA, 500 nt
Filed under: uncultured bacterium
Lineage: Bacteria
Description: partial 16S ribosomal RNA
Rfam family: Bacterial small subunit ribosomal RNA
Source: RNAcentral
GACGAACGCUGGCGGCGUGCUUAACACAUGCAAGUCGAACGGGUCUGCCCUGUUUUUUGCGGGGUGGGUCAGUGGCGAACGGGUGAGUAACACGUGAGUAACCUGCCCCUCACUUCUGGAUAACCGCUUGAAAGGGUGGCUAAUACGGGGUGUUCUGGCUGUGCCGCAUGGUGUGGCUGGGAAAGAUUCACUUUUGUGGUGUUUUGGUGGGGGAUGGGCUCGCGGCCUAUCAGCUUGUUGGUGGGGUGAUGGCCUGCCAAGGCUUUGACGGGUAGCCGGCCUGGGAGGGUGGGCGGUCACACUGGGACUGAGGUACGGCCCGGACUCCUGCGGGAGGCAGCAGUGGGGGGUAUUGCACAAUGGGCGGAAGCCUGAUGCAGCGACGUCGCGUGAGGGAUGGAGGCCUUCGGGUUGUGAACCUCUUUCGCCGGUGAAGAAGGUCCUGCUCUCUGUGGUGGGGUUGACGGUAGCCGGGUUAUGAAGCGCCGGCUAACUACGUG